CGGGGAUCGAACGCGCGUGGCCGGAUUCAGAGCGCAGCGUUCAGUCACUGCUCCCCACCACGCACACAACACGCAGUCACAUGCAAAGAUCACCCGUGUAGCCUUGAGAGACUGUAGGGGCAAGUGCCGUCAGCGAGCGACUUUGAGGGGCUUCACGGCACGCGAGAGGGCGAGUGGCCAACACCACACCCGGCCGCCUUUGUCUCCCCAGUGGCGAUGUUUCCACCUCCGCAACAGAACAAUCUUCAGGAUCGCAUCAUCGUCAAGAUCGCAUCACCACCAAGAUCGCAUCACCACCAAGAUGGCAUCACCAUCACCAAGAUCCCAUCACCACCAAGAUGGAGUCACCACCAAGAUCUUAUCACCAUCAAGAUGGCAUCACCACCAAGAUCCCAUCACCACCAAGAUGGCGUCAUCACCAUCACCAAGAUUGCGUCAUCAUCACAAAGAAUGGUGUUCGCGUUGAAGACCUCGCAGAGAAUGGCUUUGACGGCGACCUUGCGGGAUUGGUGCCAGAGAGUUGCGGCCAUGAGAUUGAGCAUAUUGGCAAAUAUCGGAGG
Molecule: long non-coding RNA, 560 nt
Organism: Lethenteron reissneri (Far Eastern brook lamprey)
Lineage: Eukaryota; Metazoa; Chordata; Hyperoartia; Petromyzontiformes; Petromyzontidae
Source: RefSeq, a predicted model, not a curated record